Molecule: long non-coding RNA, 369 nt
Organism: Bolinopsis microptera
Lineage: Eukaryota; Metazoa; Ctenophora; Tentaculata; Lobata; Bolinopsidae
Exons: 3
Source: RefSeq, a predicted model, not a curated record
CCUAUGCGGCCCCAGCUCUGGUCUAAAAGAGCUGCUCUUAGACACCGAUUUCCACUGGCACACGAAAGGUCGGUCAUCGUUUGCGGUGGAUUGGAAUUUACAUUGCGGCGGAGAGUUUCUCAGGUCACUGCUGGGAUCGGUCUUCUUCGGAGGGGCCCUUCUUGGGACUUUUAUAGGCGGGAACUUGUUUGAUAUGAUCGGUCGAAAGCUGGGGGCCUUGGUAGGCUACGGUAUUGUUACAGUGUCAACCCUUAUAGCUGCGUUCUCUCCUUCAAUAGAAUUCUUGUUUGUAUGCCGCUUCUUUCAAGGAGCGGGUGUUUACAUUGGAUCAACAGGAGGUUUUGUAUUAUUGCUGGAGUACACAGCCUC